RNAcentral lists this ribosomal RNA (602 nucleotides) under uncultured fungus. Its description in RNAcentral is "eukaryotic LSU rRNA". It matches the Rfam family "Eukaryotic large subunit ribosomal RNA", at positions 23 to 641 of the family's 3401-position model. The record is from RNAcentral. Lineage: Eukaryota; Fungi.
ACCCGCUGAACUUAAGCAUAUCAAUAAGCGGAGGAAAAGAAACCAACAGGGAUUGCCUCAGUAACGGCGAGUGAAGCGGCAACAGCUCAAAUUUGAAAUCUGGCCUCACGGUCCGAGUUGUAAUUUGUAGAGGAUGUUUUGGGUACCGCCGUGGUUUAAAUUUCUUGGAACAGAAUGUCAAAGAGGGUGAGAGUCCCGUCUUGGACCGCGGUAGGGCCUGUGUAAAACUCCUUCGACGAGUCGACUUGUUUGGGAAUGCAGGUCAAAAUGGGUGGUAAAUUUCAUCUAAAGCUAAAUAUCGGCCAGAGACCGAUAGCGCACAAGUAGAGUGAUCGAAAGAUGAAAAGCACUUUGAAAAGAGAGUUAAACAGUAUGUGAAAUUGUUGAAAGGGAAGCGCUGGCAACCAGACUCGUGCGCGGGGUUCCCCCUUGCUUCUGCUUGGGUUACUUCCCCGUGUCCGGGCCAUCAUCAGUUUCGGGGGCCGGUUAAAGGCCUUGGGAAUGUAUCUACUCCUUCGGGGGUAGACUUAUAGCCCAGGGUGUCAUGCGGCCAUUCGGGACUGAGGAACGCGCUUCGGCGAGGAUGAUGGCGUAAUGGUUGU